GACGAACGCUGGCGGCGUGCUUAACACAUGCAAGUCGAACGAUGAACCCGGAGCUUGCUCUGGGGGAUUAGUGGCGAACGGGUGAGUAACACGUGAGUAACCUGCCCUGGACUCUGGGAUAAGCGUUGGAAACGACGUCUAAUACCGGAUAGGACCUUGGAUCGCAUGAUCUGGGGUGGAAAGUUUUUUCGGUCUGGGAUGGACUCGCGGCCUAUCAGCUUGUUGGUGAGGUAAUGGCUCACCAAGGCGUCGACGGGUAGCCGGCCUGAGAGGGUGACCGGCCACACUGGGACUGAGACACGGCCCAGACUCCUACGGGAGGCAGCAGUGGGGAGUAUUGCACAAUGGGCGAAAGCCUGAUGCAGCAACGCCGCGUGCGGGAUGACGGCCUUCGGGUUGUAAACCGCUUUUAGUAGGGAAGAAGGGCUUCGGCUUGACGGUACCUGCAGAAAAAGGACCGGCUAACUACGUG
This 472-nucleotide ribosomal RNA is filed under the name uncultured bacterium. Its description in RNAcentral is "partial 16S ribosomal RNA". It matches the Rfam family "Bacterial small subunit ribosomal RNA", at positions 28 to 507 of the family's 1533-position model. The record is from RNAcentral.